This 467-nucleotide ribosomal RNA is filed under the name uncultured bacterium. RNAcentral's name for it is "partial 16S ribosomal RNA". It matches the Rfam family "Bacterial small subunit ribosomal RNA", at positions 28 to 507 of the family's 1533-position model. The record is from RNAcentral.
GACGAACGCUGGCGGCGUGCUUAACACAUGCAAGUCGAACGGAAAGGCCUCUUUCGGGGGGUACUCGAGUGGCGAACGGGUGAGUAACACGUGAGUAACCUGCCCUUGACUUUGGGAUAACUUCAGGAAACUGGGGCUAAUACCGGAUAGGAGCUCCUGCUGCAUGGUGGGGGUUGGAAAGUUUCGGCGGUUGGGGAUGGACUCGCGGCUUAUCAGCUUGUUGGUGGGGUAGUGGCUUACCAAGGCUUUGACGGGUAGCCGGCCUGAGAGGGUGACCGGCCACAUUGGGACUGAGAUACGGCCCAGACUCCUACGGGAGGCAGCAGUGGGGAAUAUUGCACAAGGGGUGGAAGCCUGAUGCAGCAACGCUGUGUGCGGGAGGACGGCCUUCGGGUUGUAAACCGCUUUCGCUCAUGACGAAGCUUUGUGUGACGGUAGUGGGUAAAGAAGCACCGGCUAACUACGUG